UCAUAGUAGAAAGGAUUGAGGCUGUACAUGGCCCAACACCAUGUGAGUCACGCUCAUUAAAUCUGAGCUAGCUUCUGCUACUGCUAAGUCCAACCCACUAGCUGCAGAGGUGGAUGCUGAACCUUCAGCCUGCCACCAUUCCUCAGAGAAGCCACAUGGUGGUCGUUCAACCACAUCUAACCCCUGACACCUGGGAGGGGGCAGCAGUUCAUCUUACUGGAGUCAACACAUACUUCGGAUACAACACAUACUUGCCUGUUUGAGUGCUUCUCCUAGCAUUACCAUCUGAUCCAUCAACACUGUAGCUCCCACGAAUUGCCUCAGGCCACGGAACCCAUUUUUUGACAAAAAAAUAAAAAUAGAAAAAGAACAGUGACUCAUAGACUCAUGACCAAAGGGUUACAAGUACUUUAUCACCCAGUGGUAGCCUGCCUGCUUAAAUGGUUGGACAGCCUAUCGAAGGCUUGGGCGCGAUCUCUUGUACUGUUGGAGCACUGUAUUCUGGGGAGUAGUAGAUGUAUCCAGCCACCGGCUGGUAUAUGCUACUUGAUCUCCAGUAGCUAGAGUAUAUGGGUCCAUGAAGGUUGGAAGUAAGGGUGUCUCUACUGACUGUCACACAUGCACACACGUAUACGAUGAAUAUAAUGACCAUGCUGUAAAGCAUACAUUCAAAACCCUGGAGACUGCAAACAUGCCUUCCAUUUAAAGCAGUGUGUUACAUUUAUGCUGAUUUAAUCAUUAACAUUAGUAAGAGGCCAGUUAUACUGUUCAAGAGUUAAGAUGUUUUACGAGAAAAUGACGAAAAGAUACAUGUAAUCAUUGCAAUGCCAGUUUACCAUCAGAUAGGAUGUGCAAUAAUCCCUUUAGCAAGCUUAAGCUUUUACAUAUUAAUGGCAGUAUUGGAGAGCAGGAAGAUGCCUUUUACGGCACUGCUGAGGUCCUUACAAUAAAGAAAUGCCUUUGCUACUUGGCCCUAUUACUGGAAUGUGCUGGGAGAAUAAUGCUGUUUCGUGGGCUCGUCCCUCCCCAUGACUGGGGCCUGGGGUGGUUUUUUAAAAGCAAUGCUGUAUAGCAAUUAAUAAUGAGGAGGGGAAAAAUUCAUUUAGACGUUUGGCAACAUCUUUGUGGCACUCAGUAUGGGUCUCAUAUAGAGUAGAUUUGCCCUGCAGAGAAACACUAGAAACGCUUUAUUCUUAAACAUACGAUUAACCAGCUGCCAGAGACAAUAAAACAUUUAAAACUUCUAUUCCAGGGACCAAGUCACCAUCUAUAGGUCUCAGAGCUACUAAAAUGUAUUUUCAAAUGAGCUGCAGGGCACGAUGCAUGUUUCCUCAUGCGUAAAACAAAGGCCUUGGGUUAGAUUAUGGCCCCGCCAGUCCCCUCCGGACUACAGUACUUCACGAUGUAAAGGCAAAUCAAAUAGCAAAGAAAAGCAACCUGUUGACUUUGUGAAUAAGAAACUAAAGAAAAUAAAUCAAUAGUAAGUCAGAAGGAAAAUGUCUUUCUUGGUUAAACAUUGAAGGCUACUCUCAUCCAUUCUGAAAGAGAAGCUGAGGAAAUAUCUGGAGAUAUUCAUUUCCUGGGUAUCGCAAUAUACUGGACAAAGUAUCUAUCUUUUCUUUUGAGCUUGAAAGAUUACAGAGAUGACAACCCACAUGUCAAUCAAGAACGAAAAGGAUAACUAAAUGUGGACGUCUAUUCAGCAAUGACAAUGAGCAAGGAACAACACAGGUGCAUCUCAUGAAUACAACAUCGUGAGAAAGAAAGCCACAAAAGAGCACCGACUGCACGAUUCCACUUGUUACCGUUCAGAAACAGGAUCACUGGACUCUAUUGUUGAGGAUGCAGACAUAGGUGGUGAAAUCGUAGGAGAGAAGUCAGGCCAUAAGCAUCGCACAGCUCAGGAUGGAGAAAGAAUCUCUGGGAAAGGAUGGAAUUGACUAGAAUUUAAAAAGAGAAGCCCUACUACCCUGUUGUUAUUAAUUACCAUAUGAUGGAUAAAGGAACUUGGCUUUGGAAAGUAUCACUCUAUGAUACCCUGCAGAAAGAAUAUUUAAGUCAUGGCCUUGCUUUGUGCCGUGGGAGGAUGACCCUUGUGGACCACAUCUCCUGAGCUCCCUUGCUGGUGGACUUAUGAUUAGAUUUGGCCAAUAUCUGGAGAUCAGAGGGAUUUAACUCAAUGCAGGCGGGGAUUUUUGUUUUCCUCCAUGCUGUAUUUCAGCUCCUGGAAUAGGCCUGGCACACAUAAGAGUGUUUGAGAAAUACUGAUGGAAUGAAUGAAUGGGUGAGUGAAUGAAUUUUCUGCACUCCUUUUAAACCAGACAAGAAUAUCCAAGUUUUAAAGUGCUUCUUAAA
Mirounga angustirostris (Northern elephant seal) is the source of this 2355-nucleotide long non-coding RNA. RefSeq lists it as uncharacterized. The record is from RefSeq and is a predicted model, not a curated record. The transcript is spliced from 4 exons. NCBI's taxonomy places the organism in Eukaryota, Metazoa, Chordata, Mammalia, Carnivora, Phocidae.